AAGUCGUAGCAAGGUUUCCGUAGGUGAACCUGCGGAAGGAUCAUUACAAAUAAAGCCGGUAGGAGGUGGGGUCUUGAUCUGUAAGUGGUAGAGCGAACAGUCCGGCAUGCCUUCCCCGAAAUGUCCUUCACAUAGCCCCCCACGCCUUGAAGGCCGAAAUUACAACCCUUCCGAUUAUCUACACUUGUUGCUUUGGGGUGCUCAAGUGCCCCAGAGGACCCAAAUCUCUUGCAUUUAGUGACGUCUGAGUACUAUAUAAUAUUUAAAA
This 268-nucleotide unclassified non-coding RNA is filed under the name plant metagenome. RNAcentral's name for it is "partial contains small subunit ribosomal RNA and internal transcribed spacer 1". The stretch from base 1 to 46 matches the Rfam family "Eukaryotic small subunit ribosomal RNA", at positions 1786 to 1831 of the family's 1831-position model. The record is from RNAcentral.